GACGAACGCUGGCGGCGUGCCUAAUACAUGCAAGUCGAGCGAACCAAUAAGAAGCUUGCUUUUUGUUGGUUAGCGGCGGACGGGUGAGUAACACGUGGGUAACCUGCCUGUAAGACCGGGAUAACUCCGGGAAACCGGUGCUAAUACCGGAUAGAUUAUCUUUCCGCAUGGAGAGAUAAGGAAAGAUGGCUAUUGCCAUCACUUACAGAUGGGCCCGCGGCGCAUUAGCUAGUUGGUGAGGUAACGGCUCACCAAGGCGACGAUGCGUAGCCGACCUGAGAGGGUGAUCGGCCACACUGGGACUGAGACACGGCCCAGACUCCUACGGGAGGCAGCAGUAGGGAAUCUUCCGCAAUGGACGAAAGUCUGACGGAGCAACGCCGCGUGAGCGAAGAAGGUCUUCGGAUCGUAAAGCUCUGUUGUUAGGGAAGAACAAGUAUCGGAGGAAAUGCCGGUACCUUGACGGUACCUGACGAGAAAGCCACGGCGAACUACGU
Molecule: ribosomal RNA, 497 nt
Filed under: uncultured bacterium
Lineage: Bacteria
Description: partial 16S ribosomal RNA
Rfam family: Bacterial small subunit ribosomal RNA
Source: RNAcentral